Molecule: transfer RNA, 73 nt
Filed under: Entomacrodus strasburgi (Strasburg's blenny)
Lineage: Eukaryota; Metazoa; Chordata; Actinopteri; Blenniiformes; Blenniidae
Description: tRNA-Thr
Rfam family: tRNA
About the family: Transfer RNA (tRNA) molecules are approximately 80 nucleotides in length. Their secondary structure includes four short double-helical elements and three loops (D, anti-codon, and T loops).
Source: RNAcentral
GCAUUAGUAGCUCAGACUACAGAGCACCGGCCUUGUAAGUCGGACGCCGAAGGUUAAAAUCCUUCCUACUGCU